Molecule: long non-coding RNA, 489 nt
Filed under: Malus domestica (apple)
Lineage: Eukaryota; Viridiplantae; Streptophyta; Magnoliopsida; Rosales; Rosaceae
Description: long non-coding RNA (MDOM_LNC005317)
Source: RNAcentral
AAGAAAAAAAAUUUUGCUGCAGCAAUGGGAUUGUAUCAGAAAAACAAGAAAAAAAAAGAGGAACACGGGUUGCUGAUGGAAACAGAUUGGAAAAGGUCAUUUUCUGGUCAAAUUUGUUUUAUUGUUUUUAAUUUUUGUUCAAAAUAUUUUUAUUUAUUUAUUUAAUGAGUGAAAAUUUGCAGCAGUUGGGUGCCUGAGAUGGGGUUCCAUUAUUUACGAAGUGGGUCACAUGCUCAUGUCUGGAAGAUGAUAACAGAUAACUGGUGCAAUAAUAUAUAUUGUAUAUGUUUAUUUGUAAAGUGACCGAUGAGGACUUUAAAGAUAAUAAUAGGUUGGACGCGAAAGGAUAACAGGAGUUUUAGAUUUAUAUUGGUUGUGAAAAGAAUGAACAAAAUGUAAGCCGAAUUUACAAAAAAGGCAUAAGGGAUAUAAAGAAUUCUUGAACGAAAAAGUGUGGAUGCCAUUUUCAAUUAAAUGGUAAGAGCUAGC